CACUAUCAGAUAUUUUUGACGAGACGCAACAUGGACCGAAAACUCACUCUUGUACUCAUCGUUCUUUUGCUGCAGUUGUACGACACCGCUCACGGGUGGGCUAAUCGUCGCCGAGACCCAUGGGACAUGAUCUCUGGAAGACGCCGCUGGAACACUAAACCAGAAAAUCUUGAACUUGAAGACGAACCAUUAGAGGCGUCAAGAGAUCAAAUCAUGGAGGAAAUUUUGUCUGCCGAGUAAAACCGUAACUUAAAUUCCGUGCAUAAACUGCUUCGUAUAGAUAUACGUGCAUCGAAAAUACAUUAAGUUACUUUAAUUUC
Molecule: long non-coding RNA, 320 nt
Organism: Ciona intestinalis (vase tunicate)
Lineage: Eukaryota; Metazoa; Chordata; Ascidiacea; Phlebobranchia; Cionidae
Source: RefSeq, a predicted model, not a curated record